GGGCUCUGGAAGUCUGUAGGAGCAAUCCCUGCAUCCCAGCAGGCAGGGUGUCCUUCUCUGCUUUAUUUCAAACCCAAGCUCAUGGUUGAUGGCUGAUUCAGUGAGACCUGAACAUUCUGUCUUGCUGCCUCACAGAGGAAUCGAAGCCAAGGAGGCAGAGCACAGGAAAGACUUCAUCUAACUUCAUCUGAAAUAUUGCUGGCCCCAUGAUAGUGCAGCUUGGAAGGAAGUCAAGUUGGCUGCAAUCUCAUCCUGCCAUGGACUUUCACUAAGUCACAGCUAUUAUGGAUGCUUCCGAGUGACUGGAAGUCAAACCAGAAUGUCCCAAAUGCCAGUUGCCCCUGCUCACUCUGACAAAAGGCUGAGCCCCUGCGGUUGAGGUUAAGCCAGGUGGCAGGCAGGCCUGUGUUGCACCAGUCCCAGCCCCAGGAAGAAUUCAAAGACCAUGGCCCUACCCCAAGAUGUUUUGGGUUAAGCAUGGAAUUAUUGUUUUCCCUUCAAAGACCAGGAAAAAAGGCUGCCCGUGAAUGCCCUGGAUACUCUGAAAGGCAUGCGCCUUUGAUGCUUGUGAAGACCCUCUCUGACUGAAUGAAUAGCACAGCCCUUGCCUGGUCUCAGAACCCAGGCCUUCUGGAGUGGGUGGGACCUCAAAGUUCACUGAUUCCACCUCCCCUAGCGGGCACGUAUUUCUUGGUGUACUUCCACCCUCAUAAUUCUCAAAAAUACAAAAGCUUCCCCCCACUUUGCAUAGGACUACAUCUUGUCAGACGCCCCCCACCUCCCCUCACCAUCACCACUGUCCCUGUCUAGGACUCCCAGAUCUGCCAUCUGAGGUCUCGGCCUGCUCUCUGUUGCCUUGGGCUCCUGGAGAAGUUUGAGUCUGUCGUGGGCUAGGCUUCAAGCAAGUUCUCCAUGUCAAUAUUUGUCUGUCUUCCCAUAUAUGGUUCUGAAGCCCCCCCAGUUUACAUGGGUAAACAGAAGAAGUGCAAAGCAGCCCCCCAAACUUCAGUUGCUGACUGCCUAAAGAAGGAAAUGGGGUUCUUAUCUCCCUGGCCUCAUGGCAGUCUGGUCAACAUUGAACCUGGAAAUUAAAUGUUUUGGGUUUGCUUUCUGUUGCCUUGAAAACUCA
This is a long non-coding RNA of Mesocricetus auratus (golden hamster), 1129 nucleotides long. RefSeq lists it as uncharacterized. NCBI's taxonomy places the organism in Eukaryota, Metazoa, Chordata, Mammalia, Rodentia, Cricetidae. The record is from RefSeq and is a predicted model, not a curated record. The transcript is spliced from 2 exons.